Non-coding RNA from Candoia aspera, 73 nucleotides. The record is from the annotation of a RefSeq genome assembly. NCBI's taxonomy places the organism in Eukaryota, Metazoa, Chordata, Lepidosauria, Squamata, Candoiidae.
GUUUCCGUGGUGUAGCGGUUAUCACGUUCGCCUCACACGCGAAAGGUCCCCGGUUCAAUCCCGGGCGGAAACA